GCCUGGGUGGCUCAAUUGGUUGAGCAUCUGACUUCGGCCCAGGUCAUGAUCUCUUUGUUCGUGGGUUUGAGCCCUGUGUCAGGCU
This is a non-coding RNA of Felis catus (domestic cat), 85 nucleotides long. The record is from Rfam. NCBI's taxonomy places the organism in Eukaryota, Metazoa, Chordata, Mammalia, Carnivora, Felidae.